This 253-nucleotide ribosomal RNA is filed under the name uncultured bacterium. RNAcentral describes it as "partial 16S ribosomal RNA". It matches the Rfam family "Bacterial small subunit ribosomal RNA", at positions 524 to 776 of the family's 1533-position model. The record is from RNAcentral.
UACAGAGGUCUCAAGCGUUGUUCGGAUUCAUUGGGCGUAAAGGGCUCGUAGGUGGCCAACUAAGUCGGACGUGAAAUCCCUCGGCUUAACCGGGGAACUGCGUCCGAUACUGGUUGGCUUGAGUUUGGGAGAGGGAUGCGGAAUUCCAGGUGUAGCGGUGAAAUGCGUAGAUAUCUGGAGGAACACCGGUGGCGAAGGCGGGUCUCUGGGCAUCUCCUGACGCUGAGGCGCGAAAGCGUGGGGAGCAAACGGG